Molecule: ribosomal RNA, 162 nt
Filed under: uncultured bacterium
Lineage: Bacteria
Description: partial 16S ribosomal RNA
Rfam family: Bacterial small subunit ribosomal RNA
Source: RNAcentral
GGAAUCUUCGGCAAUGGACGAAAGUCUGACCGAGCAACGCCGCGUGAGUGAAGAAGGUUUUCGGAUCGUAAAACUCUGUUGGUAGAGAAGAACGUUGGUGAGAGUGGAAAGCUCAUCAAGUGACGGUAACUACCCAGAAAGGGACGGCUAACUACGUGCCUG